AGAGCCCGACCCAGCGGCGGCGGGAGGAGGGGAGUGCGUUUUCAUCACCCCAAGUUGGCAAGUUACUCAAAGGAUACGUGAGGGUUUGGGAACUCUCCUUGGUUUCCUGGGCACUGGGAAGCCCAGGCUUCUCUAAUCACUGGGAAGCGAGACGAUUUAGCCUCACAAUUAGCAAACAUUUGCUAAAUGCAACUAGGUGCCCUGUUCUGGCUGCAGGCCAAGCUCCGUGCCAGGUUUCAUCUUACUUCAUUCUGAUUAUCGACAUCUCACUGCCGAGGAAACAGACUUGCAGACACCGAUGAGAAAACUUAGGAGCCAGCUGGGGAGGGAGGACUGGCCCAAAGUCACAGUCAACAGGAGGAAGCGGCGCGCGCCUAGCUACGCAAAACCGUAUUGGACUCGGGGAGCCAGGGGUCGGGGUGGGGUGGGGGCGCGGCCGGCUGGGAGGGCUUCCCUGAAGAAACGUACCGUUUAGGCAGGAUGGAAAAACGCAGAGCAGAACGCACCCUGACCUGGCAGAGCAUCUGUAGUGGAGAGAAUGGGAUUUUAGAGGAACGCUGAAAAUAAAACAAGAAAACAAAAGACCAGAGGAAAGUAUUGCUAGGGUGAAGAGGGAGCGCCUUGGCUCCUUUGCCACCAACCCAGCCCCAGUGAGAGUUUACCCCCUAACUUUGAGGGUGCCCUCCCAUCCCCAGAGCCCUUGGUUUUACGUCUAAGUACACUCCCCUUGCAGGGAAGCGCCAGCUCCGUGACCCUGGUUCUCUAAACAUUUUCCUUGCAGACUCCUAAAAGAAUUUUGAAAAUCUGUGUACCCCUUGCACAUUUUUAGGUGCAAACAUUUAAAUUGUUUUCAUAAGUUUAAAUAGUUACAUAGAGUCUACUUUCUGGUGUAUUGCAAAUAUUUGACAUUUUAAAAUAAAAC
RNAcentral lists this long non-coding RNA (922 nucleotides) under Homo sapiens (human). Its description in RNAcentral is "HSALNT0302266". The record is from RNAcentral. Lineage: Eukaryota; Metazoa; Chordata; Mammalia; Primates; Hominidae.